GAUGAACGCUGGCGGCGUGCCUAAUACAUGCAAAUCGAGCGAACAGAUGAGGAGCUUGCUCCUCUGACGUUAGCGGCGGACGGGUGAGUAACACGUGGAUAACCUACCUAUAAGACUGGGAUAACUUCGGGAAACCGGAGCUAAUACCGGAUAAUAUAUUGAACCGCAUGGUUCAAUAGUGAAAGACGGUUUUGCUGUCACUUAUAGAUGGAUCCGCGCCGCAUUAGCUAGUUGGUAAGGUAACGGCUUACCAAGGCAACGAUGCGUAGCCGACCUGAGAGGGUGAUCGGCCACACUGGAACUGAGACACGGUCCCGACUCCUACGGGAGGCAGCAGUAGGGAAUCUUCCGCAAUGGGCGAAAGCCUGACGGAGCAACGCCGCGUGAGUGAUGAAGGUCUUCGGAUCGUAAAACUCUGUUAUUAGGGAAGAACAAAUGUGUAAGUAACUAUGCACGUCUUGACGGUACCUAAUCAGAAAGCCACGGCUAACUACGUG
Molecule: ribosomal RNA, 497 nt
Filed under: uncultured bacterium
Lineage: Bacteria
Description: partial 16S ribosomal RNA
Rfam family: Bacterial small subunit ribosomal RNA
Source: RNAcentral